UGGUAGUCCGCAACGAGCGCAACCCUUAUCUUUAGUAGCCAGCACGUUAAGGUGGGAACUCUAGAGAGACUGCCGAGGAUAACUCGGAGGAAGGUGGGGAUGACGUCAAAUCAUCAUGCCCCUUAUGAUUUGGGCUACACACGUGCUACAAUGGCGGAUACAAAGGGAAGCGAAAGGGUGACCUGAAGCAAACCCCAUAAAGUCCGUCCCAGUUCGGAUUGAAGUCUGCAACUCGACUUCAUGAAGUUGGAAUCGCUAGUAAUCGCGAAUCAGCAUGUCGCGGUGAAUACGUUCCCGGGCCUU
RNAcentral lists this ribosomal RNA (303 nucleotides) under uncultured Lachnospiraceae bacterium. RNAcentral describes it as "bacterial SSU rRNA". It matches the Rfam family "Bacterial small subunit ribosomal RNA", at positions 1074 to 1382 of the family's 1533-position model. The record is from RNAcentral. Lineage: Bacteria; Bacillati; Bacillota; Clostridia; Lachnospirales; Lachnospiraceae.